AAGGGCACCACAAGAACGCGUGGAGCAUGUGGCUUAAUUUGACUCAACGCGGGAAAACUUACCGGGUCCGGACACACUGAGGAUUGACAGGCGACUUAUAUAUUGAAAAUGUGCUAGUCCUUUCAUGAUUGUGUGAUAGGUGGUGCAUGGCCGUUCUUAGUUCGUGGAGUGAUCUGUCUGCUUAAUUGCGUUUCAGAUAUUUGGGGUUUUAUCAAAACAGUUGUUCUCGGGGUCUCCUGACUAUGUUGGCUUCAUUGUCGCAUUGGUCUAACCCUUGAACGCGGGCCCCAUUGAAAGCAACGAACGUGACCGCAACCCUUUGUUGAUACACACUAUUUUUUAGAUGUAUUACAACUAAGGGGACCGCCAGGGUUUGUAAAACCGGAGGAAGGUUGCGGCAAUAACAGGUCUGUGAUGCCCUUAGAUGUUCCGGGCUGCACACGUGCUACAAUGAUUGUUCCAGAAAGUAUCUAUUCUUUCUAUUGAUUUUGUUCUCUGAAGGUGGCAACACCGGAUGGAACCACGGACUGGCUUUCUAGUUUCGGUUGAUACACACGUCAUGUGUUGUUGUCUCCGCGACUAUUAACUGCCUAACGUGCACCCUACCUCGAAAGUUCGGUAGGUAAUCAAUUCCAAGUGACAAUCUCCCAUGUGUGCACAAAUCAAAUGCCACUGGUUCCAAGGGGACUUGUCCCCUUCUUACCAGUUGACAUGUGCUCUAUUAAUUCGUGGUCGGGACAGACCAUUGCUAAUUGUUGGUCUCGGUCUCAACUAGGAAUGCCUUGUACGGGUCUUUGGUUCAACAAACCACCCGGAAUACGUCCCUGCCCUUUGUACACACCGCCCGUCGCUCUUACCGAUGGACUACUCUGUGAGUUUGAGGGACUGGUGUUCUCCCCUUUUUCGGGGAGCGACGCUAUGGAAACUUAAACGAACAGUGUGGUCUAAAGGAAAGAGAAGUCG
This 963-nucleotide ribosomal RNA is filed under the name Foraminifera sp. RNAcentral describes it as "SSU rRNA". It matches the Rfam family "Eukaryotic small subunit ribosomal RNA", at positions 1160 to 1791 of the family's 1831-position model. The record is from RNAcentral. Lineage: Eukaryota; Foraminifera.